RNAcentral lists this ribosomal RNA (1314 nucleotides) under Protohermes sinuolatus. RNAcentral describes it as "16S ribosomal RNA". The stretch from base 1069 to 1228 matches the Rfam family "Archaeal large subunit ribosomal RNA", at positions 2542 to 2701 of the family's 2987-position model. Lineage: Eukaryota; Metazoa; Arthropoda; Insecta; Megaloptera; Corydalidae. The record is from RNAcentral.
AAAUAAAAAAUUUAAUUAUUUUUAAAGUGUAUUAAUAAUUUAAUAUAAAUAAAUUUAAAUUUAGUAGUUUUUGUAUAGUUUAUAGAUCUAAUAAUUUAUUUUAUAGAAUAGGAGUAUUGAAAAAGAAAAUUGAAAAAUUUUUUUGUUUAUUUAAAAGUAGUAUUUAUUUUAUGUACCUUUUGUAUCAGGGUUUAUUAAAUAAGAAUAAAAAAUUUUAUGUUCUCGAAUUUAAAGGGGCUAAAUUAAUAUGAAAGUUUUUGUGUCAUAAAAAUUUUUAAUUUUAAUUUAGUAAUGAAAUGUUAUUCGUCUUUAAAUAUAUCUAGUUUUUUAAGAAAUAAAUUUAAUUUAUAUAUUAAUUUAUUAAUUUUUUAAUUUUUAAAUAAAUUGAUUAUUAAUAUAAAUAUAUCAAGGGAUAAGCUUUGAUUUAUUAGAAUUAUAAUUUAAAUAGAUAAAGAAUUAAUUGUAGAUUUAGAAAUAGUUAUCAAUAGAAAAUUUGUAUUAAUUUAUAAGUUUAUAAAAAAUAUUUAUUAAAAUUUAAUUUUAAUAUUAGAAAAUAAAUUUAAAUUGAAAAAAUUUAGUUAUAAUGAUAAAAUUAGUAUAAUAAAGUUGUUUAAAUAGAAUUUUUUUAAAGAUUAUUUUAAGGAAUUCGGCAAAAUAAUGUUCACCUGUUUAACAAAAACAUGUCUUUUAGAAUAUAAUUUAAAGUCUAACCUGCCCACUGAAUUUAUUUGAAGGGCCGCGGUAUUUUGACUGUGCAAAGGUAGCAUAAUCAUUAGUCUUUUAAUUGAAGGCUUGUAUGAAUGGUUGGAUGAAACAUUAACUGUCUCAAUUUAAUAAAAAUAGAAUUUAAUUUUUAAGUCAAAAAGCUUAAAUUAAAUUAGAGGACGAGAAGACCCUAUAGAUCUUAAUAAUUAUGUAUUUAUUAUAAAUAUAGAAAUUUAAUUUUUAUUAUUUAUUUAAUUAUUUUAUUGGGGUGAUAAGUAAAUUUAAUUAACUUUAUUUUAUAUAAACAUUUAUUUAUGAAUAAUUGAUCCAUUAUUAAUGAUUAAAAGAUUAAGUUACCUUAGGGAUAACAGCGUAAUUUUUUUAGAGAGUUCUUAUCGAUAAAAAAGUUUGCGACCUCGAUGUUGAAUUAAAGGUUAAUUUUAGGUGCAGAAGUUUAAAGUUUUGGUCUGUUCGACCAUUAAAUCUUUACAUGAUUUGAGUUCAAACCGGCGUGAGCCAGGUUGGUUUCUAUCCUUAAUAAAUAUAAAGUAUUUUAGUACGAAAGGACCAAAUAUUUAAAAAAUUUUUUAUAAUAAGAAUUAUAUAAAU